UACGAACUGUGCAACCGUUAUUCGGAAUCACUGGGCUUACAGGGUGCGUAGGCGGCUUGCUAAGUAGGGUGUGAAAGCCCCCGGCUUAACCGGGGAAUGGCGCCCUAAACUGGCGAGCUGGAGUGAGAUAGGGGUGUGCGGAACUUCCGGUGGAGCGGUGAAAUGUGUUGAUAUCGGAAGGAACGCCGGUGGCGAAAGCGGCACACUGGAUCUCAACUGACGCUGAGGCACGAAAGCCAGGGGAGCGAACGGG
This 253-nucleotide ribosomal RNA is filed under the name uncultured bacterium. RNAcentral's name for it is "partial 16S ribosomal RNA". It matches the Rfam family "Bacterial small subunit ribosomal RNA", at positions 524 to 776 of the family's 1533-position model. The record is from RNAcentral.